UUCAUUAGAGGUCGUCAUCGAGGUUCCACUCGUCGUUCUUUGUUCGUUUUCGACGGAGCCAACUUGUUAUUCAUUGUGAUUGAAUCUAAGAUUUGUUGAAUUUUUGAUCAUUGGUUUUGUUGCUUGUUUUCCGUCGCGCGACAUGAUGUACAUUUUUGUUGGGGUCGAUUCAAUAAUCGAAUUCCAAAAAAGCAUUUUGCUGCUCUAAAUUGGUUCGCUACUUCGAGUGCUCGUCUGAGAACUAUAUCGAGUGUGGUUCGAGGUAGCCGGAGGUAGCUAUUCGAGGUCCCUGUUCCGUCAUUCAUUCAAGGUUCUGUCCGCGGAUCUGAUUCGCCGCUGAGGCUUGACGUUCGCUGUUGUGUUAUUCGGCUUGUCGGAGGUUCGGUCGGUAGCCUUUCCUUUACGCAAGGUCACUGUAGGUACAAAGUCUGUUGAAGGCUUCAUUGGAGCAGGGCUCAAUAUUCUGCUGCAAUUAGCAUGUAUUUGGCUUCCUUGUCUUCAAAAUUAAGUCCUUGAGCAUAUAGGUAUGAUCCUCACUCAACUACCCUAAGAUCUUUUCUAGAUAGUAAAUCAUGAGCUUGUUUAAUUCAUGUAUCGCUAAUGCUAGCAUUUAUUUGUGUGUAUAAAUACGAACGAUGAAUAGAAUCUGGUUAAAUCUAAUUGGAAUCCAUUUAUUGGUUAAAUUUUCAUUGCUUGAAAUGUGGAUAAUUUGCUAAUAUUCAUGUGACAGUAGCUAUCCGUGAGAAUUGACGGAAAGAGUAUGAAUUGGGUUUUCUUUUUAGUGUUGAAUACAGUUAAGCCUCUGUUGCAAACAUGGUUAAGUUUUUUUUUUUUUUUUUGCCGUUUCUUUCCUUCUUCAAUAAAUACUACUCAAAACUUUAUUUGGGUAGGAUAAUUUAUAAAAUGAGCUAUGAUCGAAAGUUUCAAAUCACUUAUGAUAUCGUAAAUUAUAGUUUUAUUUGGCUUUACCAAGGUUAAACUAUGUUAGGCCCAACAGCAUCACAAAUGUGAAUUAAAGCGGCGAAUACGUGAUUCAAUAAUAACUCAAAUUUGGCUUAGUUGAUUGUAUAUCUUUCCUUAGAUUCCGAGGUGUGCCAUUUAGCAAAUUCCAUGGCUCUCGCAAAUUAUAAAAUGCUGAAUUACUUUAGGCACGUUAGUUAAUAAUAAUUACUUUCUUAAACUCGAGUGUGCAUUGAUGCGACCCAAAUCCAAAUUUCGACAAAGUCAAAAUGUGUUGAUAAUCACGGGUGCCUUGAUGGUGACGGGGUUAGAAAAGCGUUUUCAUGACAUCGUAAUUCUUAUAAAAUAAAUAUUGAUAAAAAAAGGGUUGAACAAAAAUAAAUGUGGGCCCUCAAUAUUUGGUUAUUGAAAAUGAUUAGAAUUCAGAAGGGUCGUUUAGCAAAUUUCAACGGCCUUUCCCAAACAAUAUUACGUUAGAACCUUUAAGCGCGAUUUAAUUAAUUUAUGUUCUUAUAUUCGGGUUCCAAUUGAUGCGACCCAAAUCCAAAUCUCGAUGAAGUCGAAAUAUGUCGAUGACUACGGGUGCCUUGAUGGCGACGUGGUCAGAGAUGUGUUUUCACGACGUUGCAAGUGUUUUAAAAUAAAUAAUGGUAAAAGCGGUCUAUAAAUAGAAGGCACAUAAGUUAGCAUGUAUUAAAAUCAGAUAAAGUCAAAUACAAUAGUUAAGCGACCAUGCUAGAACCACGGAACCCGGGAAUGCCUAACACCUUCUCCCGGGUUAACAGAAUUCCUUAUCCGGAUUUCUGGUUCAUAGAAUGCAAUACAGAGUCAAUCUUUUCCUCGGUUCGGAAUUAAACCGGUGACUUGGGACACCAUAAAACUCCCAAGUGGCGACUCUGAAUCUUUAAUAAUCAAAUCUCGUUCCUGUCGACGCCCCCCUUUUUGAAAGGCGAAAUCGGGUUUCAUGACAUUAUGGGCAAAACAACUCUAUUUCUCGUUUCGGAAUUGGGUCAUGGAAAUUGGAAGAGUCGCCUCCUAAUGAUUAUAGUGCAUUAGGACACUUUAAGAGAGUGUUUUUUAGGAGAGAAACCAGAGUUGGGUAAGGGCUUGAAAUUAUCUCGAGGGGAAGGUGUCAGGCACCCCUCAAGAUCCACAAAUGUGGUUCCCGGCCAUGCUUAUUAUGACUUUACAAAAAAGAUGAAGCAAGUAGACACAUGAAGUACAAGUAUUCACAUAAUUUGAGAGCUUUAAAUAAAAGGACAUAAUUUUGAAAUAAAAGAGGAUUAGUUCGGAAAGCAUUGAAAAACAAUAAAGCACAUAGAAAAGAAAGGAGGGUCCUAGGUUUAACUAUAAUAUGUAUCAUUCGAUGCAAUAUCUAGCUCAUAUUCCCAAAGAGGGGUCGCUUCAUGAUAUUAUCGCAUNNNNNNNNNNNNNNNNNNNNNNNNNNNNNNNNNNNNNNNNNNNNNNNNNNNNNNNNNNNNNNNAGGGGUCGCUUCAUGAUAUUAUCGCAUCGUCAUCAUCUCCAUAUUCUACCCUUCCCCACCCCGUAGAGGUUAUUUAAGCGUGUGGAUUGAUCACGAAUACUUAUUUUGUGCUAUUACCCGUCCCAUUCUAUAAAUCCUAGAGGGCAUUUAGGAUCACUAUUCCUAUAAGGUAGGAACUAGGCUUGAACCCCUAGGUUUAAUGGUUAAAACACUAAGUGACAUACAAAAGAAAAUAGGAGUUGCACGUAAAGGAAUCAUUUAAAACAUAUAAAGGCUCAAAUAUCCCUCUAUAAACGAACACGUAAUGAGCACGACUCAAAGACAAUCAAGGUCUAAGGCAAGAAAGAGUUUUUAAAGCUAGAGUACAAGUUUAACAAAAACAAAAACUAGAGAGUUUUGCAGAAAAGAGUUGUGAGGAAAACGUUCAAAAACUUUAAAAAAGGCAAUAGCAGUUUUUAGGAAUAUGCAAAAAUCACUUAAAAGCAUUUGUUGGAAUAUAUGGUAGAACAAUUUCCGGACUGGCAGAGUAAAAACAAGUGUGAAGAUAUAUAUUUAAGAUUGCAAAAGUGUAAAGAAAACAUAUCAUCUUUUGAACUUUCAAAAUUACAGUAUUAAGAUAGUUCAAAAUAGUAGUCUAAUUCUGGACGAUAGAAACCUUUGCAUAGAUGGUUUAACAAUAGGGCAGAAGUAUAAAAUUUUAGCGAGCUUCAGAGACAAACGAUUCAGAUAGAGGCGGAUUAAUAAGAACACGACUUAAAGGUGAUUAGUCAGUUUUUUUCUGGCCUAAGGUUUUCCCAGGCGUUAUUAAAGAUGUGAGCAUACAAUGGUUGCCAAUUUUAUCCAAAUUAGCGAGGCGUUUAAACAGCUGCAAAUGAAAUCCUAAUGGCAUGAUAUCUAAUACACAAGAAGUCCUAUAAGCAUGGUAUCUAAAUGUGAUGGUGAUAACUUAUUGAUUAUUGAUUGGUUACGAUUAUGAAAAAAAGUACGGAAUAACAACUGGGAGUGAAAGGCCUAGAAACAUGAUUUCUAUAUGCAGCGAUGCAUGUCCUAAAGCAUGGAAUCUAAUGCACAAGCAAGUAAAUAAGCCCUAUGGACAUAUUUUCUAUCCAUCCUCUUAACUAAGCAUGCAUAACCCUCCCAAUUUCACUAUUAACCCCAUUAUUCUUUUACAAGUUAUUACAGACCAAUUUUUCUACCCGUUCCCUUAAUUAAACAUUCAUUACCCUCCCAAUUUCACUAUAAAUCCCAUUAUUCUUUUACAAGUUAUUACAGACCAAGUAAUUAAAAGUACAAUAGUGAGAAAAGAAAACAAAAAGUUACUCUAUGGAGAGCCUUCAGCCAGGCCCAAACAUCUCCAACCUCACUUCUUUCAAAUUUCACAGCCAGCACCAAGGUUUGGGUGCGGCAAAGCUCCCUAAGGGUUCGUUUGAACCCCUGGCCAAUACCAGGAACCAAAAAGAUGUCCCAAUUGGUCAAUUUCAAACAUUGAACGCCAGCCUUAGCCAUCAAAGUUCUAUGGGUCCUCAAGGCUCCCAUGGCAGUGCUUACACCAAGGAGGCAGGACCUAUGGUUCUAAAAGUAGUGAAGUUGGGAUAGGAAUUUAAAACAAUUGAGAGUCAACUUAAGAAAAAGAGUUGGGAAACAGUUUGAGAAAGUAGUUUAAGAGAAGUUAAGAAAGAGUUUAAGAAAACAGUUGGAAGAGUUGCAAAAUCCUUCUGAAAAUAAAACAUGUAGACUGACCAGUUUUGAGACCAACAGAGCAUCACACGACGAAGGACAAGGGGAAGGGAACAAAUAAGCAAAACAAACUAAUCACAGGCAACACAUGGGUAGACAGUAACUAGACAUGGUUUUAGAAUAAAUAGGGGUUCAGUUCUUACUGCACCAAACCCCCAUACACUUAACCUCAGGAAGAGGUUUUAGGCUGAUCAAGUAGCCUAGCAGCCCUGGACACAUAGUAAUAAUGCACAAAGAAAAGUAAACAUUUAUUGAGACAGGGGAGGAGUAAGGGGAGCAUGCUAAUUUAAGCUAAAUAGGCUAGCAAGUGUAUACUAGUGACAACAAGAGCAGCAGAACCAUAGAUAAAAGCACACAAAAAACAAGAAGAAAUGCAAAACUGGUAAACGCAUGUUGUUUUGGAAACUGUAUAUAUUAAAUAGGUAAGAUACCAGUUGCAGGCAGAGAACACAAUAACAAUAAGCAGUAGUGCACAAUAAAUAGCAAAGUAUGCAGGGAAUGAGAGCAGCAAGGUGAGAGUAACAGUGUGCAGCAAAGGGAGCAGUAGGCAAUGUGCAACAAAGUGUGCAGCAAACAGAGCAGCAGGCAAACCCAAGCAAAUAAUGUAGCAGAACCUUAGUAGUGCAGAAGUAAACGGCCAAAAUUACUCAAUCUUGGCUUUCAGCCGAUUGAGUGAGAGAGUUUGUAGGAAAAAAAACAAAACAGUACAGAGAUAGAGAGCACUGAGUGUUACUGAAAGAAAGUUCAGAGGGAAUAUAAUGCCUCAGUAUGAGAGAUAUGUAAUGUGUUGGUUUUGAAAGAAGGUUUAGAGAAAUUGUGCUCGUUUCUGAUGAGAACAGAAGAGUAGUUCUUAAAGCUUUUGAAAUUGUAGAGAAUAGGGUAGGGAGUGUACAAUUAUAGAAGCAAUAUCAAAUUAAAUCAAUCAUAGGUCCUAAUUCAAAGAAAUUAGGGAAUCAAAAUUCGAAUGAGAAUGUAGGCUAUCAAAUAAGGAAAAAGUCAGUUGAAUAAUUGACUAUCCAUAUCGAAAGAAAUAGGCAUGAUGUACAUAAUAAAGGCUAGGUACACAACAUUACAAACAAGGCAAAUAUAUGUUGAAUAACAAAAUAUAUUUAAUUGCACAAAUAUGGAAAGAAAUAUAAAUUAACUAUGAAAAAUUAGUCAAAGAAUCAUGAGCAAGACCAAAAUCAGAGGGAAUCUCACAAGUAAGGAAAUAAUUCAAACAUGGCAAGAAAUAUAAAUUAACUAUGAAAAAUCAGUCAAAGAAUCACUGACAAGACCAAAAUCAGAGGGAAUGCUAAUAAGUAUGGAAAGCAUAUCUAAAUAAGGAAGUAAUUCAAAAGAAAUCAGUGUAAACGUUUGAGGAAAAUUACAUACAAGUCAUGGAUUCAUAGAGAUGCACAAAUCAGUAGAAUAUCACAUGAGCGAUGAACAAUUAGCCCUAUAAAGCAUAACUCCGUUUUUCUCAUUUCAUGCUUCUUCUUGUUUCAUUAUAAGUGCGUGGUGUGUUUGAGUUGAUUUGCAUUAGUAUUGGUGAAAAAUGAGACAGAACCCUAAGCAAGGAAACAUGGAAGCAACAAAGGGUCGGAACCCUAGCAAGAAACUAAAGCAGGGAACUCAAAUUGACAAGGAAACCCGACAAACUCGUAACAAAAAAAGGUACAAACGAACACAUAAUAUUCACGAAAAGCAGAAGAUAUACGAUCUUGAAAAGGGAUGAAAAACCCUAGCCAGAAAGUUUAAGUAUGGAAAUCAAAAUUAACAAGGAAACUAAAAACUCAUAACACAAACAACCAUAUAAUACUCAAGAAAAGUAGGAGAUAUAGCGACUUUGAAAAGGGUCAGAAACCCUAGUUUUGAAAAAGAGGUACAGAAUGUUUGAAAAUUUUGACUUAACCAAAGAUAUCGAGUCAGAUAUAGUGUAGAAACAAAGAUUAAACCGGAAAUUGCUUAGAAAGACAGAAGUUUAAGAGAUUAGGCAAAGCAAAUUAGGGUUUGCAAAUAUGUUAGGGAAAUGAGAACCUGGCUGUGAAACUCGUAUAUAAUGCCAUAGAAUGCAUCAUCUGACAAAAACCACCGGAGAAAGGCCGGAAAUAGACCCCAAAUAAAGCUUCAGUGACCUCUUUCAUGGCGGAAGCUGCUGGCUUCAAACCUUAGAGAGAAAAUAGCGAUACAAGGACUACAUGGUCGCUGGAGAUCGAGAGAAGUGAAGGAGGAGUGAGCCGGAGAGGCGAGGGUCGUCAUCGGAGAAGAAGGAGAGAACCAGAAGGCUCUAAAGAGAUGAGGGUUAGAGAGCAUAGGUUAGAGAGAUAGAGAGACGGGCUGGUGAAAUGAGGGUUUGGGGGUGUUGUUUGAUUUAAUUAUGGAAAAGAGAUUUGGGCCGUUGAUCUUAUUUGAUCAACGACUCAGAUUAAAUCUGAGGCGGGUCAGGUAAAUUAAAAUGGUGUGGGUCAUUGAAUUGGGUUUGGAAUUUUGGGCUGAAAAUAGGGGUGUAAUUGGGCCAUAUUUUAAAUGAAAUGUGGCUAUCUUCUAAAUAACCAAUUUUCCUCAAAUAUGAUUUUAUAAAAAUAGCAAAAAAUUUAUAAAAAAUUCAAUAAAAUUACUGAGACACUAAAAUAGGCUUAGGAACGGAAUAAAAAUAUCAAGAAUGAUUUUUCUCUUGAAAUACUUAUUAAAUUGAGAAAAUAGGCUAAAAUUGCAAUUUAAUGCAAUUUUAGUUUUAAACUACUUCAUGGCUCUGUAAAAUCCUAUAAAAAUUAUAUAAAUUAUAUUUUUAUGCAAAUGAAAGAAUAAAUAAUUUAUUUGCUAAAAUAGCAAGAUUUGAUACCAAAUAUUGAAUUUUAUAGUACAAAAAUGAGCUGUAAAUCAAUUUUCAAAAUGCUUGAAAAAUCAUAGAAAAAUACCAAACCCUUUGUGGAUGCUUGUAUAUGCAUUCACAAGCUAUUUUGAAAAUAUUUUAGGUACAAAAAUACGUAGAAAAAAAUUGGGUAUCAACAGUUCCGAUUGUCCUUAUGUGGAAAAACUCCUUUACGCCCUUUUGCGGGGGUGUAUAGCGGAAAAAGGAGGUGUGACAUUGGGUAGUAACCAUGAGUUUAAUUUAUAAGACCUAAGUGUUGAUCAUGAACUAGAUUGACUUCUUGAUUGCUUGACGAAUUGGACUAGAGGUUUAAAGGGGAUAAUCAACUCCAUGUAUGUAUGUCUAACUCUGAAUCAUGCGAAAUCGCCCUGUUUUGGUAGGUGAAAUUGCUUAAUAAUUGGCAUCCAUUUGGGGAUUGUUGUGUAAUUCUUGUGAGUGUUGUUCGUGUGGUAACACCUUGUGGUGGAAGUUGAGGAACUUGUAAUGGAAAGAGUUUGGAAAUGGUGGAAAUGGAAAUAUUGUGGAACAACGUGUAUGAUUGGUUGUGAAUAAUUGUUGUGGUAACCCAAAUUGCUUACGAAUUGAUGAACACGAGGAAACUAUUGUUGUUGGUUUUGAAAUAUCUUACACAUUGUAGUGAUUUCUUUCUAGUAAGUGGUACUGUUGAUUCUUUGAAAUUUUUGUGUUGCUUGUUGUUUGUAAAUUGAAACUGUCAGGCGAGGUCGGGUUGCACGCCGUAACACGGUAAAAUAAGGUGUGGGUUGGUGUGAUAAGGCUGGUCGAGGUAAUAAGGGUGGCCGAGGCAAUAAGGAUGGAAAAGUGAUAUAGUAUCACUAUUGAAAUGAAUUGAAACUGCGAAAUGGUUAAUGUGAAAUUGUGAGAGGCGACAGCAGGAGAGUUUGAAACCUGUAGGGCACUGAUUGCCCCUUUGUUUGGCUAAUUGAAUUAUCCGUUGUGAAGUGUUUAGUUGUUGUUUCUAUUGUUGUUCAGCUGUUUAUCUGUUUAUGUAUCCUUUGACUUGAGUUUACUAGAGACAGGGUUUGUUAAUACAUACCACUGCAAUUCCAAUGUGCUGACGUUCCUUUUGCCGUGGGCGCUACAUUCGUAUUAUGAUUGUAGGUGGAUCCGUGACAGGCACUCAAGUCUGUCGUUCGUAGCUCCUCCUCC
This 8202-nucleotide long non-coding RNA is filed under the name Nicotiana benthamiana. RNAcentral's name for it is "long non-coding RNA (NBEN_LNC026257)". Lineage: Eukaryota; Viridiplantae; Streptophyta; Magnoliopsida; Solanales; Solanaceae. The record is from RNAcentral.